UGGUGAACCCCACCCCAUUUCCGUGCCUUUGGAAGCCUUCUUCUCUUGUUGCAGACAUAUAUGGGGGAUACCUGCCCUGCAAGGCCAGACUCCCCCGUUUUCUGAGCACUGAGCCCCCACAGGUAGCUCGGAGCUCCCAGGGCUUUGAUUAUACCUGCCCCCUCUCCAGCCACAGUGGUGGGAACAAGGUUCACCCCUCACCCAGG
Molecule: long non-coding RNA, 206 nt
Organism: Pipistrellus kuhlii (Kuhl's pipistrelle)
Lineage: Eukaryota; Metazoa; Chordata; Mammalia; Chiroptera; Vespertilionidae
Exons: 3
Source: RefSeq, a predicted model, not a curated record